GACGAACGCUGGCGGCGUGCUUAACACAUGCAAGUCGAACGGAAAGGCCCUGCUUUUGUGGGUUGCUCGAGUGGCGAACGGGUGAGUAACACGUGAGUAACCUGCCCUUGACUUUGGGAUAACUUCAGGAAACUGGGGCUAAUACCGGAUAUGAGCUCCUGCUGCAUGGUGGGGGUUGGAAAGUUUCGGCGGUUGGGGAUGGACUCGCGGCUUAUCAGCUUGUUGGUGGGGUAGUGGCUUACCAAGGCUUUGACGGGUAGCCGGCCUGAGCGGGUGACCGGCCACAUUGGGACUGAGAUAAGGCCCAGACUCCUACGGGAGGCAGAAGUGGGGAAUAUUGCACAAUGGGCGGAAGCCUGAUGCAGCAACGCCGCGUGCGGGAUGACGGCCUUCGGGUUGUAAACCGCUUUCGCCUGUGACGAAGCGUGAGUGACGGUAAUGGGUAAAGAAGCACCGGCUAACUACGUG
Molecule: ribosomal RNA, 468 nt
Filed under: uncultured bacterium
Lineage: Bacteria
Description: partial 16S ribosomal RNA
Rfam family: Bacterial small subunit ribosomal RNA
Source: RNAcentral